Molecule: long non-coding RNA, 512 nt
Filed under: Sparus aurata (gilthead seabream)
Lineage: Eukaryota; Metazoa; Chordata; Actinopteri; Spariformes; Sparidae
Description: lncRNA (ENSSAUG00010014917.1)
Source: RNAcentral
AUGGAGUGUCUGCAAAAACCUUGGCAUGGAUUGUAUUUUCUGUUCAUCCUCGAUGUUGGAAAAUCACAUUUUCUUGCAAUUAUUCAAAAUCAGUCUCAAACUUUUUGUCCCACUACAGCUAUGGCUAAUAAGGAUUGUGAUCAAGAUUUCUGUGAGGAGCUGAAGAAGUUCUUUGACAGCCGUGGCGGGAGCGUAAAAGUGCGGGAGCUCAAGGAGUGGUUGGCCGAAAAUUGCAAAGGCCGUAAGAACGAAGGUGGAAUCAGAGGGCUCUUUCCGUGCAUGGAGCAAAAAGCCGAUGAAGAUAUCACGCUUGAGGAGUUUAAGAAAUGCUGGGUCGAGAAGAAAAACAAGGGAUGUUCCUAAACAGAAUGUUUACUACAAAACCCUCAAGAUUGAAAAAUAUGUAAUAAAAUAAAAUAAUCACAAUAAUAGAGUAUACACUGACAGCAGAAGCCACAUUGGUUUUGAAAAAUGUGUCCAUUCAAUAUUGGCUUAGAAAAAAUAAAAACCAU